CCCUUGAAGACGACGAGGUAGAUAGGGCAGAGGUGGAAGUGCAGUAAUGCAUGGAGCUGACUGUUACUAAUCGGGUGAGGGCUUGACCAAG
Molecule: ribosomal RNA, 91 nt
Filed under: Ruminococcus sp. AF42-9BH
Lineage: Bacteria; Bacillati; Bacillota; Clostridia; Eubacteriales; Oscillospiraceae
Description: partial 23S ribosomal RNA
Rfam family: Bacterial large subunit ribosomal RNA
Source: RNAcentral